Molecule: non-coding RNA, 149 nt
Filed under: Nomascus leucogenys (northern white-cheeked gibbon)
Lineage: Eukaryota; Metazoa; Chordata; Mammalia; Primates; Hylobatidae
Source: Rfam by way of RNAcentral
GCUGGGUGUGGUGGCACAUGCCUGUAAUCCCAGCUACUUGGGAGGCUGAGGCAGGAGAAUCGCUUGAACCUGGGAGGUGUGGAGUUUCAGUGAGCUGAGAUUGCACCACUGCACUCCAGCCAGGGUGACAGAGUGAGACUCUGUCUCAA